RNAcentral lists this ribosomal RNA (332 nucleotides) under uncultured bacterium. RNAcentral describes it as "bacterial SSU rRNA". It matches the Rfam family "Bacterial small subunit ribosomal RNA", at positions 568 to 898 of the family's 1533-position model. The record is from RNAcentral.
CGCGUAGGUGGUCCUUCAAGUCAGAUGUGAAAUCUCCCGGCUUAACUGGGAGCGGUCAUCUGAUACUGCUGGACUUGAGGGUGGUAGAGGGAGGUGGAAUUCCCGGUGUAUUGGUGAAAUGCGUAGAUAUCGGGAGGAACACCAGUGGCGAAGGCGGCCUCCUAGGCCAUUCCUGACACUGAGGCGCGAAAGCGUGGGGAGCGAACAGGAUCAGAUACCCUGGUAGUCCACGCCCUAAACUGUGGAAACUAGGUACAGGGAGUAUCGACCCUUCCUGCGCCGUAGCUAACGCGUUAAGUUUCCCGCCUGGGGACUACGGUCGCAAGACUAAA